GAAUUGACGGGGGCCCGCACAAGCGGUGGAGCAUGUGGUUUAAUUCGAAGCAACGCGAAGAACCUUACCAGGUCUUGACAUCCUUUGACCACUCUGGAGACAGAGCUUUCCCUGCGGGGACAAAGUGACAGGUGGUGCAUGGUUGUCGUCAGCUCGUGUCGUGAGAUGUUGGGUUAAGUCCCGCAACGAGCGCAACCCUUGAUUUUAGUUGCCAGCAUUUAGUUGGGCACUCUAAAGUGAC
This 241-nucleotide ribosomal RNA is filed under the name Listeria monocytogenes. RNAcentral's name for it is "partial 16S ribosomal RNA". It matches the Rfam family "Bacterial small subunit ribosomal RNA", at positions 907 to 1149 of the family's 1533-position model. The record is from RNAcentral. Lineage: Bacteria; Bacillati; Bacillota; Bacilli; Caryophanales; Listeriaceae.